GCCGGAAUGCUUCCGUGGAGAGAGUA
RNAcentral lists this transfer RNA (26 nucleotides) under Ditrichum lineare. RNAcentral describes it as "partial transfer RNA-Phe". The record is from RNAcentral. Lineage: Eukaryota; Viridiplantae; Streptophyta; Bryopsida; Pseudoditrichales; Ditrichaceae.